UACGAAGGGUGCAAGCGUUAUUCGGAGUUAUUGGGCGUAAAGGGUGUGUAGGCGGCGUGUUAAGUCAGCUGUUAAAUUCCUCAGCUUAACUGAGGGCCAGCAGCUGAAACUAGCAUGCUAGAGGAUGGAAGAGAGAAGUGGAAUUCUCGGAGUAGCGGUAAAAUGCGUAGAUCUCGAGAGGAACACCGAUGGCGAAGGCAGCUUCUUGGUCCAUUUCUGACGCUGAGGCACGAAAGCGUGGGGAGCAAACAGG
This 253-nucleotide ribosomal RNA is filed under the name uncultured bacterium. RNAcentral describes it as "partial 16S ribosomal RNA". It matches the Rfam family "Bacterial small subunit ribosomal RNA", at positions 524 to 776 of the family's 1533-position model. The record is from RNAcentral.